Molecule: unclassified non-coding RNA, 198 nt
Filed under: uncultured Thelephoraceae
Lineage: Eukaryota; Fungi; Basidiomycota; Agaricomycetes; Thelephorales; Thelephoraceae
Description: sequence contains ITS1
Source: RNAcentral
CCGAAUUGUCAACACGAGUUGUUGCUGGUCCUCAAAUGGGGACAUGUGCACGCUCUGUUUACACAUCCACUCACACCUGUGCACCCUCUGUAGUUCUGUGGCUGGGGGACUUUGUCCUCCUGCUGUGGUUCUAUGUCUUUACACACACUCUGUAUUAAAGUCUCAUGGAAUGUACACUGCGUUUAACGCAAUACAAUA